RNAcentral lists this long non-coding RNA (266 nucleotides) under Elaeis guineensis (African oil palm). RNAcentral describes it as "long non-coding RNA (EGUI_LNC017924)". The record is from RNAcentral. Lineage: Eukaryota; Viridiplantae; Streptophyta; Magnoliopsida; Arecales; Arecaceae.
UCUUACGUCGAGCCAUCUACAGGGCUUAUCCUAGUAGUAUAUAUGAAAUCUAUGCCUGAAACAGCAAUGUCGACUUUGUAGGUGCUAAAUUCUGUUGCUUCUAAUGGACUGUGAGUCCUGCCUCAUUUUAGAAUUUUUCAUCCAUUUAUAACUCACCCGACAGUGGAUGCUCAACCCUAUUCCUUCAGGUUGUCUAUGAGUCAUUCGUUAUUUUUAGCAUUGUCCAUCUAUUUAUUUGCUAGGGCCCAUGUCUCAAGACUCGAGGC